Molecule: long non-coding RNA, 1188 nt
Organism: Sycon ciliatum
Lineage: Eukaryota; Metazoa; Porifera; Calcarea; Leucosolenida; Sycettidae
Exons: 2
Source: RefSeq, a predicted model, not a curated record
GGGACCGCGUAUUAUAAAAUUGCUGCGUCAAUAACUGCAAUGUAAUAAUUGCUGAGCUUCAGAAUAUCUUUUCAAAGUGCUGCGAUGGCGGGCGUCGUACAACACUCACUAGUAAUAUACGUAUCAAUCAUGAUGAAACUGGACGUGCCCUAAACAUCCAAUCAGGGUGACUGGUUGUCAGCUGCAAACGCCCCCAGGAGAUCAUUUGACACGCACAGUAUACCCUUACGAGUUAUCAAUGCACAUCACCGACAAAGCUGAGGCCAAGAUGCGCAUCUACCUUGCUUUUAAACAGGCCAUCCUCCGCCAGCCGCACUCUACUAACUGCUUAUAGGCACCAACCAUUACCAUUAGUCUGCCGGAACCGGGAAUCUCUGUGAAGAGUGCACAAGAUACUGCCUCUGCAUUGCCAGCUCACUGCCACCCUUCUCUGUGUGUGCUCUAGGAUUUCAAACCAACCGGGUACACGUGUACCUGGCGCAACCCUUGCAACCAGGUCAGAGUCGGAUCUGUUCAAGUGCGGUAACGGCAUGUACAUCUAAUCAGGAAGUUGUAAAGAUUUAGGAAUCCCGGAUGUAUAAUGUACAUGUGUUCUGGUGACUCGAUGCUCUUUUUCCAAACGGGUCCAAGUACCCCCAACCGGGUCGCUGACCCAGCUGACCCGGCUCUGGAGCAGACACUGCUUCUCUGGAUAUCUUUGUAUCAUUUGCUACAUUAGAUUGAUAUGGAGAGUUCUGAUUUGCUGAACCGACCAACAUACCUGCUUUCAUAGCAACCCCAACUCCCCUAUGCUAUGUACAUAAUGUGCUUUUUUUACUCCUCCAGGUUCUGUUUGUUGUUCGACUUGACACCAGUUACAACUGUAAAUAUUACACAGUAGUAAGACAAUCCUAAGUCACCCGUGUAACCUAUCACUACACAGCAUGAAUUGUAACCAUGGUGACCUGGCACUACACAGCAUGAACUACUCCAUGCCUGUAGCCGGCAGAGCUGCUAUUUUCUACCGACAACCUAGCCUGAUUUUCCUGGACGCAAACAACAUAAUUUUUAGCAUUGAACUUUGCAAUAUCUUCUACAAAACUGAUGCCCUCUUACGGCUCUUCAACGUAGCUCAGAGAGCAGCUUUCUGAAAAUUUCCUAUAAUUUUGUCAACAUGAACAUGUGAUUGUUAGAUUUCCGAAGAUUGCC